Monodelphis domestica (gray short-tailed opossum) is the source of this 1730-nucleotide long non-coding RNA. NCBI's taxonomy places the organism in Eukaryota, Metazoa, Chordata, Mammalia, Didelphimorphia, Didelphidae. The record is from Ensembl.
AUGCAGAAGGACCUAACAUGUUCCAAGAACUGUGUUAAGCACUCCACAAAUGCUAUCUCAUUCAAUCUUCAAAACAGCUCUGAGAGAGUCAAGACAAGACCAGUGGCAAAACAAAAGUCAAGACAACUGGUGAUGGUCCAGGAUACAAUGGAUGAACUUGGUCCUACUAAACUAAAAGCUACACAGGACCUGCUUCAGAUACCCUUAUGGCCAUUGGAACAGACCAUUCUCAUACAUCCAUUUCACCAAAAGUCUUCACAUUCCCCUAAGUCACCAAUGGAUGCCUUCCACAUUGUUUAGCCCAUCUAACAUGACUGUUUUAUUGGGAUAUGGCCAGUGAGAUUCUUGGAGCCACAAGUGAGAGUUGGGUGAAAGGAGGACACCCAAGUUAAUAACUAGCCCUAAAAAGGGCUCAGCAAACCCUCCCCCAGAGGUGCUAGAACUCCCUAAAUACCCCAUACACCCCAUAGUGGGGAUCACAUAUAGAAUCAAGGAGGUUCCAGUUCUAGGAGAAUACUCUAAAGUGCAGAGACAGUCCAUCCCUCCCACAUCAUCACAGAUAUCUGGAAACAGGCUCCCUAAGAUUCCACUUGGGACCCCUGCUAUGGUCCCAGGACUGGACCCUCAAUGGUCAGCAACCCAUUACAGUUUAAAUGCUUUCUUCUAUUUCUCCCAGCUUUGGUGACUACAACAUAGUAAACAUUUUAAUUAUUGUUGGUUGAUCAGGGUCAUUUGAAAGCAUCAUCAAAAUUUCAUUUUUGGAAGUCCAGCAUUCCUUUCUAAUUAUUUUUCCUUUAAUGCUUUCCCUAGCAUUUCCCUUCCUUCCUGUAUGGAUUCUAAGAUGGCCUGGUCACUUUCUAGAAAGAUUCCUGGUAGUCAGAACAUAGUCUAAAAUAGUAGUUCUCUGAUUCCUCUAUCUUCUUCCAAAAGAAGAAAAUGACAAGAAGACUAGUCAAGAAGAAGAAUAACUAGCAUCUAUAUAGUAAUUUAAUGCAAAGCAUUUUGUAUUAUCUCAUUAGUUACUCACAACAAUCCUAUGAGGCAGGUGCUCUAUUUAUACAAAACUGAGGCUGAGAGAACUUGUGAUUUGUCCAGGGUUAUAGGUAAUACAAGUCUAGGGUCUAGGCUGAAGUUGAAUUCAUGUCCUCCUGACUACAGUCCCAUAGGCCAUGCACUAUUCCAUUUAGCUGCCAAGAACGUACUAAAUUUUUAGCAAAACGAGUCUUCUAAUAGAUUUUCAAGUAGUUUCCCCCUCCCUCAACAAAAAUGAAGUUUUUAUGUUUUUUAUUUAUUUGUUAUAUUAAAAUACCCAGGUAACAUCAAUCCUCUAAUUUUUUAAAAUACUUUUUUAUUGGGGGAGAUAGAAGUAGGGUUAGAUAUUGAUAUAGAUAUAAGUAUGGACACUGAUUAGGGACAGCUAGUUGGUAUAGUGGAUAGAGUACCAGACCCAAAGUUAGGAAUAUUCAUCUUCCUGAGUUCAAAUCUGGCCUCAGACAACAGCUAUGUGACUCUGGGCAACUAAACCCUAUUGGUCUCAGUUUCCUCAUCUGCAAAGUGAACUAGAGAAGGAAAACCCCAAGCAGGUCAGACAUGAGUAAAAAAUGACAAAAGCUUUGUGGUUGGACUCAUAAAGGUCUUUAUUGUGUCUUGGUAGGUAGAUUCUCUGAUGUUUUAUAAAUCCUGCAGAUAUUUUGAAUAAAAUUUCUCCUAUGUUUUCCUGCUGAGCUUUU